This 499-nucleotide ribosomal RNA is filed under the name uncultured bacterium. Its description in RNAcentral is "partial 16S ribosomal RNA". It matches the Rfam family "Bacterial small subunit ribosomal RNA", at positions 28 to 507 of the family's 1533-position model. The record is from RNAcentral.
GAUGAACGCUGGCGGCGUGCCUAAUACAUGCAAGUCGAGCGAACAGACGAGAGUGCUUGCACUCUCUGAUGUUAGCGGCGGACGGGUGAGUAACACGUGGGUAACCUACCUAUAAGACUGGGAUAACUUCGGGAAACCGGAGCUAAUACCGGAUAAUAUUUAGCUUCGCAUGAAGCAAUAGUGAAAGACGGUUCUGCUGUCACUUAUAGAUGGACCCGCGGUGUAUUAGCUAGUUGGUGAGGUAACGGCUCACCAAGGCAACGAUACAUAGCCGACCUGAGAGGGUGAUCGGCCACACUGGAACUGAGACACGGCCCAGACUCCUACGGGAGGCAGCAGUAGGGAAUCUUCGGCAAUGGGCGAAAGUCUGACGGAGCAAUGCCGCGUGAGUGAAGAAGGUCUUCGGAUCGUAAAACUCUUUUGUUAGGGAAGAACAGCUACGUGAGAAACUGAAGCUACCUUGACGGUACCUAACCAGAAAGCCACGGCUAACUACGUG